CGGGGUGUGGGAAAGCCUGGUCAAUCCGCUUGCUUCGGGAGCAAGAAAUCGUCGGUUCGAAUCCGACCACCCCGACCA
This 78-nucleotide transfer RNA is filed under the name compost metagenome. Its description in RNAcentral is "tRNA-Pro". It matches the Rfam family "tRNA". From Rfam's summary of the family: Transfer RNA (tRNA) molecules are approximately 80 nucleotides in length. Their secondary structure includes four short double-helical elements and three loops (D, anti-codon, and T loops). The record is from RNAcentral.